AGUGAACGCUGGCGGUAGGCCUAACACAUGCAAGUCGAACGGCAGCACAGUAAGAGCUUGCUCUUACUGGUGGCGAGUGGCGGACGGGUGAGGAAUACAUCGGAAUCUACUUUUUCGUGGGGGAUAACGUAGGGAAACUUACGCUAAUACCGCAUACGACCUACGGGUGAAAGCAGGGGAUCUUCGGACCUUGCGCGAUUGAAUGAGCCGAUGUCGGAUUAGCUAGUUGGCGGGGUAAAGGCCCACCAAGGCGACGAUCCGUAGCUGGUCUGAGAGGAUGAUCAGCCACACUGGAACUGAGACACGGUCCAGACUCCUACGGGAGGCAGCAGUGGGGAAUAUUGGACAAUGGGCGCAAGCCUGAUCCAGCCAUACCGCGUGGGUGAAGAAGGCCUUCGGGUUGUAAAGCCCUUUUGUUGGGAAAGAAAAGAAGCAGGUUAAUACCCCGCUGUUCUGACGGUACCCAAAGAAUAAGCAACGGCUAACUUCGUG
Molecule: ribosomal RNA, 492 nt
Filed under: uncultured bacterium
Lineage: Bacteria
Description: partial 16S ribosomal RNA
Rfam family: Bacterial small subunit ribosomal RNA
Source: RNAcentral